UGGGCUAGGGGGAAGAGAUUCUUACCAAACCUAAUAAAACUCCGAAUGCUAGACAUUGUUCUUCAACAGACAGACUGUGGGUGCUAAGGUCCAUGGUCGAGAGGGAAAGAGCCCAGACCACCAGAUAAGGUCCCCAAAUUAUGAUUAAGUGUGAAAGGAUGUGGAAAUUCCUUAACAGCCGGGAGGUUGGCUUAGAAGCAGCCAUCCUUUAAAGAUAGCGUAACAGCUCACCGGUCUAAUAGAGUUUCUGCGCCGAAGAUGUAACGGGGCUAAAAUCAUAUACCGAAUCUGUGGGUUUAUAAAACUUUCGAGUUUUAUAAGCGGUAGCGGAACGUUCUGUAAGCCUGUGAAGGGAUACUCGCGAGAGAUCCUGGAGGUAUCAGAAGUGCGAAUGCUGACAUAAGUAACGAUAAAAGAAGUGAAAAACUUCUUCGCCGAAAAUCCAAGGGUUUCUGCGCAAGGUUAAUCCGCGCAGAGUUAGUCGGCACCUAAGGCGAGGGCGAAAGCCGUAGUCGAUGGAAAUAAGGUUAAUAUUCCUUAACCAGAUGGUAGUGACGGAUCUUGUAAGUUGUGAGCUCUUAAUGGAUUGAGUUUGCCGCGAAAAGGUUCCAAGAAAUAGCUCCAUCAUUAGACCGUACCCUAAACCGACACAGGUGGAUUAAUAGAGUAUAUUUAGGCGCUUGAGAGAAUGAUGUUGAAGGAACUCGGCAAAAUGCUUCCGUAACUUCGGGAUAAGGAAGACCUGUUUUUAGGCAACUAGAGAUGGGUGGCACAAGCCAGGGAGAAGCGACUGUUUAUCAAAAACACAGGGCUCUGCUAACACGUAAGUGGAUGUAUAGGGUCUGACGCCUGCCCGGUGCUGGAAGGUUAAUGCGGUUGGUGCAAGCUAACUUCUGAAGCCCCAGUAAACGGCGGCCGUAACUAUAACGGUCCUAAGGUAGCGAAAUUCCUUGUCGGGUAAGUUCCGACCUGCAUGAAUGGCGUAACGAUUUCUCCGCUGUCUCCAACAUCAACUCAGUGAAAUUGAAUUCUCCGUGAAGAUGCGGAGUUCGCGUAGUUAGACGGAAAGACCCCGUGCACCUUUACUGCAACUUUACAUUGGUAUUAGGAAAAACAUAUUUAGUAUAGGAGGGAGACAUUGAAGCAAAGGCGUCAGCUUUUGUGGAGUCACCAGUGAAAUACCUCUUUUGU
Molecule: ribosomal RNA, 1191 nt
Filed under: marine metagenome
Description: bacterial LSU rRNA
Rfam family: Bacterial large subunit ribosomal RNA
Source: RNAcentral